This 396-nucleotide ribosomal RNA is filed under the name uncultured bacterium. RNAcentral describes it as "partial 16S ribosomal RNA". It matches the Rfam family "Bacterial small subunit ribosomal RNA", at positions 523 to 918 of the family's 1533-position model. The record is from RNAcentral.
AUACGUAGGGGGCGAGCGUUGUCCGGAAUGAUUGGGCGUAAAGGGCGCGUAGGCGGCGCGGUAAGUCUGGAGUGAAAGUCCUGCUUUCAAGGUGGGAAUUGCUUUGGAUACUGCCGCGCUUGAGUGCAGGAGAGGUUAUCGGAAUUCCCGGUGUAGCGGUGAAAUGCGUAGAGAUCGGGAGGAACACCAGUGGCGAAGGCGGGUAACUGGACUGCAACUGACGCUGAGGCGCGAAAGUGUGGGGAGCAAACAGGAUUAGAUACCCUGGUAGUCCACAUUGUAAACGAUGAAUACUAGGUGUGGGAGGGCAUUGCCCUCCGGUGCCGCAGCUAACGCAUUAAGUAUUCCACCUGGGGAGUACGUUCGCAAGAAUGAAACUCAAAUGAAUUGACGGGG